UACGUAGGCAGCGAGCGUUGUUCGGAAUUACUGGGCGUAAAGAGUGUGUAGGCGGUGUUCCCAGUCUGUUGUGAAAUCUCCCGGCUUAACUGGGAGGGUGCAGCGGAAACUAGAAUGCUAGAGGGUGGGAGAGGUAAGCGGAAUUCCUGGUGUAGCGGUGAAAUGCGUAGAUAUCAGGAGGAACACCUGUGGUGUAGACAGCUUACUGGACCACUUCUGACGCUGAAACACGAAUGCGUGGGUAGCAAACAGG
RNAcentral lists this ribosomal RNA (253 nucleotides) under uncultured bacterium. Its description in RNAcentral is "partial 16S ribosomal RNA". It matches the Rfam family "Bacterial small subunit ribosomal RNA", at positions 524 to 776 of the family's 1533-position model. The record is from RNAcentral.